Molecule: ribosomal RNA, 645 nt
Filed under: Hyboserica sp. DA3708
Lineage: Eukaryota; Metazoa; Arthropoda; Insecta; Coleoptera; Scarabaeidae
Also listed under: 2 other names
Description: eukaryotic LSU rRNA
Rfam family: Eukaryotic large subunit ribosomal RNA
Source: RNAcentral
GGACCAAGGAGUCUAGCAUGUGCGCGAGUCAUUGGGAUAUUGACUAAACCUAAAGGCGCAAUGAAAGUGAAGGUCCGCCAUGCGCGGACCGAGGGAGGAUGGACGUUCUCGAGGGAUCGUCCCGCACUCCCGGGGCGUCUCGUUCUCAUCGCGAGAAGAGGCGCACCCAGAGCGUACACGCUGGGACCCGAAAGAUGGUGAACUAUGCCUGGUCAGGACGAAGUCAGGGGAAACCCUGAUGGAGGUCCGUAGCGAUUCUGACGUGCAAAUCGAUCGUCGGAACUGGGUAUAGGGGCGAAAGACUAAUCGAACCAUCUAGUAGCUGGUUCCCUCCGAAGUUUCCCUCAGGAUAGCUGGCGCUCGCUUCUCGCGAGUCUCAUUCGGUAAAGCGAAUGAUUAGAGGCAUUGGGGUCGAAACGGCCUCAACCUAUUCUCAAACUUUAAAUGGGUGAGAUCUCCGGCUUGCUUGAACUGUGAAGCCGCGAGAUAUCGGAUCAGAGUGCCAAGUGGGCCACUUUUGGUAAGCAGAACUGGCGCUGUGGGAUGAACCAAACGCUGAGUUAAAGCGCCUAAAUCGACGCUUAUGGGAUACCAUGAAAGGCGUUGGUAACUUAAGACAGCAGGACGGUGGCCAUGGAAGUCGGA